ACAUAUCAAUAAGCGGAGGAAAAGAAACCAACAGGGAUUGCCUUAGUAACGGCGAGUGAAGCGGCAACAGCUCAAAUUUGAAAUCUGGCUCUUUUAGAGUCCGAGUUGUAAUUUGCAGAGGGCGCUUUGGCGUUGGCAGCGGUCCAAGUUCCUUGGAACAGGACGUCACAGAGGGUGAGAAUCCCGUACGUGGUCGCUAGCCAUCGCCGUGUAAAGCCCCUUCGACGAGUCGAGUUGUUUGGGAAUGCAGCUCUAAAUGGGAGGUAAAUUUCUUCUAAAGCUAAAUACUGGCCAGAGACCGAUAGCGCACAAGUAGAGUGAUCGAAAGAUGAAAAGCACUUUGGAAAGAGAGUCAAAUAGCACGUGAAAUUGUUGAAAGGGAAGCGCUUGCAGCCAGACUUGCCUGUAGUUGCUCAUCCGGGCUUUUGCCCGGUGCACUCUUCUGCGGGCAGGCCAGCAUCAGUUUGGGCGGUUGGAUAAAGGUCUCUGUCAUGUAACUCUCUUCGGGGAGAACUUAUAGGGGAGACGACAUGCAACCAGCCUGGACUGAGGUCCGCGCAUUUGCUAGGAUGCUGGCGUAAUGGCUGUAAGCGGCCCGUCUUGAAACACGGACCAAGGAGUCUAACAUCUAUGCGAGUGUUUGGGUGUCAAGCCCGAGCGCGUAAUGAAAGUGAACGGAGGUGGGACCCCAUUAGGGUGCACCAUCGACCGAUCCUGAUGUCUUCGGAUGGAUUUGAGUAAGAGCAUGGCUGUUGGGACCCGAAAGAUGGUGAACUAUGCUUGAAUAGGGUGAAGCCAGAGGAAACUCUGGUGGAGGCUCGCAGCGGUUCUGACGUGCAAAUCGAUCGUCAAAUUUGGGCAUAGGGGCGAAAGACUAAUCGAACUAUCUAGUAGCUGGUUCCUGCCGA
RNAcentral lists this ribosomal RNA (908 nucleotides) under Neocamarosporium sp. RNAcentral describes it as "partial large subunit ribosomal RNA". It matches the Rfam family "Eukaryotic large subunit ribosomal RNA", at positions 38 to 964 of the family's 3401-position model. Lineage: Eukaryota; Fungi; Ascomycota; Dothideomycetes; Neocamarosporiaceae. The record is from RNAcentral.